CACAUAUAUAAAAAAAAACUCCCAAUCAGGACCGUGUGUUCAAUGUCGUCCACCUGUCCCGCCGCGAUAUUCCUCAUUAUCGCAAUAAACAUACCGUCUUCACAUAGAGCUUUAAGGGGUCUACUUUUGUGAUAACAAAUAUUCCCGCAAAAAAAAAAAACCGCGCGGUCUCGCAAAUACGCACGGACUCGGUCCCCCGUGCGCGCAAACCACACGCCGCCGAAACAAUUAACAGAAGCCAACGGAAUGGACAUUGAAGUAUUUUAAGUGAAACGCAUCGCGAUUUUAAAACCAAACGUGAGCUGUGCUGAAUGUCACGCGGCGGUGCCAAAGAGCAGAGAGAGAAACGCGAAUCCUAAAUGCUAAGCGAGGGGGCGAACUGGGUCCGAUCUCCCGUCAGCCCGACCGCCCGACAAAACAUGUAAAUAGUAAGUGUUCACAAUAACAGGAUCAUCAGCUUUCAGGUCAAACUGACCUGGAUUUACCUCUGAAUGUCGGAUCUCGGUGUGAUUGUGCCAAGUUUCUUCAUCCGUCGCCCGUUCAGCCCGUCAGCCGGUCCCAAAACUGAGCCCAAGAAGGAGGAACGUUGUUAUCCUCUCUCUCUCUCUCUCUCUCUCUCUCUCUCUCUCUCUCUCUCUCUCUCUCUCUCUCUCUCUCUCUCUCUCUCAAUAACGUGCCUUUCAAAAUCUCAAAGUGCGUUUUCUACACCUCUGUCCCUCAGCAGUGAUUCGUAUUGGUACAAUAUCCAUCAUCACCAGUCAUUUUUACCACUGCGUCAACCGACCACCACCAUCAUGAUCAUCAUCAUCAUGAUGACAGCCAAAAAUCAAUACGGUACGGAUACUCAUUUGCAUAAUAUUGAUGAGUUAAGGAGGACGGUUCUGGUAUUUCCUACAAUGUCACACUGUCCAAUAACUCACGCUGUGAAGACGAGUGUCUUCAGUAAGAGUAACAGUACGACCCUUUAAUAAAGACUUUAUAUGUUGUUACUAAUGCCUUAGUAACAAAUAUUAUUAACAUGUUUCAACAACAACUUUUGAUACCAUUUCCAAAUGAGAAGAAGAAGAGGUUUUACGUUAAUAAUCAUGUCAAGUAAAUUAUAUAUAGUAAAUACUUAACAGAUUCAUUAACAUUAAGGGAUUAUUUAUAAUGAACCCUUACAACGAGGGUAUUUUUAUGUUUAAUUAGUGACCUCAUAGUCUUAUAAUAGAGCUACACAAAUAGUGCUUUGGUAGGACAUCUGGAAUGUUUGAUUUUACACUUAUAUAACAUUUAAGAAUUUUGUGUUUCUUUUGCUUGUGUGUGUGCUUUUUUUACCAUAUUAGUGCACAAAUAGGACGUUGGGCCCCCAUUUUGUUUCUACCACAUGCACACACUUUCACACUGUUCAACUGAUUGACAGACAAAAUUGGCAACGUGCCAAGAAACGUAGUGAUGUGCCAAUAAAGCCAUGCGGAGAAGAAGGCGGCGAGAUGAGCAAGGACGAAGACACUGUACCAUUUAAAAUAGAUGUUGUUUCUAGGGGGAAGGAGAGGGAUUUAUGCUUUUGUCAGAAGGUACACAUCAUGUCUUUACUGCAUAAACAUAAAUUAGCAUAGACUCUUCGGGGGAUCUUCAACGUACAUUCCUCUAACAAAAAUGACAUCUCAUUUUUCUUGCAGCCCUGUAACGGCAUUAUACGUAUGGGCCUUUUGUGUGUCAUUACCCAUCUUUCAAAGGUGCCACCACCAUCAUUAUCAACACUAAGCCAUCACCUGAUUACAGGCCAAUGAUAACAUUAUUAUAUUCAUGUUAAUCAGUCCGCCUUCAUCGCCGACGCGGUCCCAUUUCAGAAAGCUAUUAACUUCGUCCUUAUCACUUAAGAGCAAAUUACACCUCGCCAUCUUCAUACACAUGCCCACGCACGCACACAUAUUUCAUUACGUCGAUAUAUCCUCCUCAGUCAUCCCACAUGCUGUAAGUCCCCUAUCUCCGUUCUACAGUGUACUUGUAGAUUGACUCCCCCAAAAACCCUUUGCAGAACAGAUGAAGGAAGGGAAGAGGAAGAUGUAUGUGUGAGUAGUAAAAGAGAGGGACUGCUCCUUCUCUAUUAUAGAAACACAGUAGAACAGGGCCGGCCAGACGACAGAGCAUGAAAGGGCUGAUUUAUCCAGUGGGAAGGGACGUGUGCGCACGUGAGUGUUUGAAGAAAGAGAUGGAAAGAUGGAGGAAGAGAGGAAGGAAUAGGGAGCCGUGUUGGCUUGUCUGUUUUGGUCUUUCUAUUGAUGAAAAGGUAGAGCGUACAUUUUUAAAUUGAAUAUACACAUUUGUGAGUCGGUCUUUGACUGUUUCUGUGGCACGUCUGCUUGGACGUGCUGCACUUUGCCGCCACCCGGGAGAGUCAGUUUUUACAGUCAACUGAAUUGAAUUGAAACAAAUUCAAUUCAGUUGUAUGCUAUCUUGUGUUUGGAGCAAUUUGUGAAUAUUAGCAUGCUAAUAGGUUCAACUACCGCUGUGACAAUAGUAAGCAUUACACCUGCGAUCCAGCAGUACGAUAGCAUUGUCUCCGUGAGCAUGUGACCAUACUGAUGAUUGCAUUCACUCCCAGCACACUCUGAGUCUUGUUGGAAUGACUUUCUGGUGAAGUGAUAGUUCCUCCACCAAUCGGUGAGGGUUUAGGCUGAACAGUAAAUCUGCCACCAUAAAAAAAGAUUUUGCACCAAUCAGUUUGUCAAAGGUUGUCUCAUUUAUAAGCGUAGGUUGCAGGAGUUUGAGGGUCCGUUCAACGGAGGCAAUCUUAUAAUAUGCUGCUCUCGUGUUGAUCAAAAAACACACACUCAGAAUUCAUCAGAAUUCGCUUGCCAAAGCCAUUUACCACAGGGAAGACAAACUGGCGGACGAAAAAGCCGGCAAUGCAUCAGUCAGAAAAUUAUUUUGUUGGACGUUUUAACUCAGAAAAGUUAGGUUGAGAUCACAAUUGCUGUUUCCUGUGUCAGUUUGUCCACCGUUUAAUCCUAAACUACUCUUUAACCCAACAAGGAUUGGAAAACAGCCCAAAAAUCAAAAGUCUGGACACGUUCUCGUUGAAUUAACGAGAAAAUGUGUCCAAACUUUUGACUGGUACUGUAUGUUCAUGAUCAAACCAAUGCAUGUGCACACUUGAUUUAUCUCUCCCUGCUGACUGCUUCCUGGACCUUUAUGUUUUGUGCUUGCCAGUGUCUGUGCGUGUGUGUGUGGUCUGCAUCCCAAUGGCUUGUAUGUUUAUGAAGGCCACCGUCAUGUGUUAGGAAGAGGGGAGGAGGGGGGCGCUCCCUGCAGCAAAUAAGAUCGCUUGAUCCCAAUAUCCGUCCCAGACAUCUAUCAGUAUACAAGAUCCAAAGGGAACCGAGAGGCG
Long non-coding RNA from Gasterosteus aculeatus aculeatus (three-spined stickleback), 3373 nucleotides. The record is from Ensembl. Lineage: Eukaryota; Metazoa; Chordata; Actinopteri; Perciformes; Gasterosteidae.